CAACAGGCAUAAAUCUUAACUUAUAAUCAUCGCAGGUUGUGCGUAUCAAGUGUAUCUUUCAAAUUACUUUUACACAAAAUCAACAAACUAUAUUUAGCAAACCAAACGAAUCGAAAAUCAAACAAAAGAACAUUCAACGUCUUACGCAGUAGAUACGAACUGCUGCUUGCUGCCUUCUAAUAGUAAAAAAACGAAAAUUAUAAAAAAACACUCUCACCCCCUGCUGGCAGUAUUCUAAGUUUGUAGCCCAAGGACGAAAUGUUAAAAUGACACUAAGUGCACAGUCAUUGUGGUGAGCAAUAAUAACAGCAAAAACGGAAAGAAGAAUAUAAAUCGAAGACAACAACAGAAAGUGUAACAAAAGAUAAAAAACUGAAAAUGUUUUAAAAAAAAGGUUUCUAUGGAUACUUGAAGAACAAAAAGGAAGAAAAAAAACGUAAUUUUCCAUAAAGGAAAAAAUAAAGAAUAAACCUUAAACCAAACAAACGUUUUUGGCACUUUUGAAACAGUAUGUAUUAUUGUAUGUGAUGUAAGAUUUUGAAUUGAGAUUUUUCAUUUUAAAAACAAACAAAAAUCACACAGAAACCAAAAACAAAAAAAAACAAUAGAAAA
Molecule: long non-coding RNA, 612 nt
Organism: Calliphora vicina (urban bluebottle blowfly)
Lineage: Eukaryota; Metazoa; Arthropoda; Insecta; Diptera; Calliphoridae
Exons: 2
Source: RefSeq, a predicted model, not a curated record